This 434-nucleotide ribosomal RNA is filed under the name Capnocytophaga granulosa. Its description in RNAcentral is "bacterial SSU rRNA". It matches the Rfam family "Bacterial small subunit ribosomal RNA", at positions 28 to 465 of the family's 1533-position model. Lineage: Bacteria; Pseudomonadati; Bacteroidota; Flavobacteriia; Flavobacteriales; Flavobacteriaceae. The record is from RNAcentral.
GAUGUACGCUAGCGGCAGGCCUAACACAUGCAAGUCGAGGGAGAAGCCCUUCGGGGCAGAAGCCGGCGCACGGGUGCGUAACGCGUAUGCAACCUACCUUUCACAGGGGGAUAGCCCGAAGAAAUUUGGAUUAAUACCCCAUAAUAUUAUUGGAUGGCAUCAUCUGAUAAUUAAAAUUACGAUGGUGGAAGAUGGGCAUGCGUCCUAUUAGCUAGUUGGAGUGGUAACGGCACCCCAAGGCUACGAUAGGUAGGGGUCCUGAGAGGGAGAUCCCCCACACUGGUACUGAGACAGGGACCAGACUCCUACGGGAGGCAGCAGUGAGGAAUAUUGGUCAAUGGUCGGAAGACUGAACCAGCCAUGCCGCGUGCAGGAAGAAUGCCUUAUGGGUUGUAAACUGCUUUUAUAUGGGAAGAAUAAGGCGUACGCGUACG